AACGAACGCUGGCGGCAGGCCUAACACAUGCAAGUCGAACGGGAUCUUCGGAUCUAGUGGCGGACGGGUGAGUAACGCGUGGGAACGUGCCCUUUGGUUCGGAACAGCCCCGGGAAACUGGGAGUAAUACCGGAUAAGCCCUACGGGGGAAAGAUUUAUUGCCAAAGGAUCGGCCCGCGUUGGAUUAGGUAGUUGGUGAGGUAAUGGCUCACAAAGCCGACGAUCCAUAGCGGGUUUGAGAGGAUGAACAGCCACACUGGGACUGAGACACGGCCUAGACUCCUACGGGAGGCGGCAGUGGGGAAUCUUAGACAAUGGGGGAAACCCUGAUCUAGCCAUGCCGCGUGAUCGAUGAAGGCCUUAGGGUUGUAAAGAUCUUUCAGUGGGGAAGAUAAUGACUGUACCCACAGAAGAAGCCCCGGCUAACUCCGUGCCAGCAGCCGCAGUAA
RNAcentral lists this ribosomal RNA (449 nucleotides) under uncultured bacterium. Its description in RNAcentral is "partial 16S ribosomal RNA". It matches the Rfam family "Bacterial small subunit ribosomal RNA", at positions 29 to 523 of the family's 1533-position model. The record is from RNAcentral.